Molecule: long non-coding RNA, 5217 nt
Organism: Anolis carolinensis (green anole)
Lineage: Eukaryota; Metazoa; Chordata; Lepidosauria; Squamata; Anolidae
Exons: 3
Source: RefSeq, a predicted model, not a curated record
CAUAUCCACAAGACCCAUAAUUUCACUUACUCGCAUUUGAUAGAAUAUGUACUCUCUGGGUAUUUCCUAGGUCCUUUAGUGCAACUCCAUGGUAAGUUUGGAUCAGAAGUAGUUCAUUUCAGUAGGGCUUGUUAUUACCCAUAGUUUUGCAUGUCCAUGGGAAGCCCGAGAACAUAUUUCCUGCAGAUGCAGGAGGCUGUACUGUAAUAUUUUCUUUUGAUAUAUUGUCACACCGGUUCGAAUCCGAGGAGCAGGAUAAGCUGUUAAUCCCAGCUUCUGCCAACCUAGCAGUUCAAAAACAUGCAAAUGUGAGUAAAUCAAUAGGUACUGCUCCAGCGUGAAGGUAACGGCUCUCUAUGCAGCCAUGCCAGCCACAUGACCUUGGAGGUGUCUACGAAGAACGCCAGCUCUUUGGCUUAGAAAUACAGAUGUAACCACUGACUUAGAUGGACAAAAGAUAAGCGGUGAAAAGGUAGAUUAAAAAGAUACUGGAUGGAAGGACAAGAGGGACAAGAUAGGUAUUGAAAAAAAGGAACACACUCACACACACACAGAAAGAAAGACAUAUUGCACAUACAUGGCAGAGAGGAGCUAUGGAUCAGAAAAGGAUGAAGGAAAGAAGAUACCAGAAGUGGACAGCAAUAGAAACAUGGACCUUGCUCGCAUUACAGGAAUUAUAGAAGGGUUUGAAAGAGGUAAGGCAAGGAUGAAAACAGGAUGAAAAAUGGAGAGGGGGAGACUGAGUGAGUGAGAAAAAGCAGGAGAAGUUUUCAAGAGUGGCAUGACCAAAAGUAUCAGGAUUCAUGAAAUUGAGGAUAACUUUAUAUGGAAUAUAAUAAAUGUUCAGCAUUUUUGAGUGUGAUAGGGAUUUCUGAUCACAAAUAAAGAAUACCAUAUCCAGAUUUUCUUCAAGGUUGAAUCUAACUGUGACCACACAGGAAGUUUUCAAGACAAACAGUGUCUUUUGUAAGGAAAAUUACUGUUUUGUUUCUAAUUAAAUUGUGGUUUUGUGCAAGAUUUCAGUGAAAGUACUAAUUAUUCCAAAAGAAACCACUCAAUACAAAUGAGGGAAAAAUUAGUUAGGAAGUCAUACAUGCAUGAGGCAGUUUGCAUAAUGAUUAAUUCCAACAAUUGGUGCUUUAGUAAGUGUAACUGAAUAAAGGGAUUUUUAUUUUACUAUCAAUUGAUAGUUUAUUGUUUUUAACCAAUAGAUUUAAAAAAUAGACCAAGAAGCCAAGAGCUAAUCCUUGGAACCUGUGAUAGGGUUGCCAUCAAUCAGAGUCAACUUGAAGGCAUAUAAAGCAACAGUCAGAUCUCAAUGUCAAGUUGAGGAAGUGAGCUUUAAAUUAUUGCCAUUCAGAGCCACAGCAUUAGAUUCACAACACAGAUCAAAUUUGUAAUCACUAGAGGUGUGUGCGAAAAAAAUUCCUUCAUUUCCUUUUUGCUAUCACUUCGUUUCGACCGUUAGUCUACACAAAACAAAUGAUUACAUUUUCGUAGGAAACGAGAGGCAACACAAAAAUAAAAGCCGCACAAUCAUUGUGCUUGCUUCUUGUUUCCUUUCGUUUCGGCCCUGUAACAAUAAGCAGAUACUGUCAGAGGGCUGCUUUCUCAUUACAGCUGAUGUGUACUAAUGAGUAUUAAUAAUUACAUUAAUAUAAAUAAUGAUAGUUGCUCUGGUACCCUAAGAUGAGUCUGAGAGAGGAGUGCCUCCCAAUUACAUCCAAUGUGGAUCAAUGGGUCUUGAUGACAAUAUUUAUAUCAAUAAUAAGAACAACAGUUAUUCUGGGACCCUAAACUGAGUCUGGGUCUGGGAGAGCAGUGCCUCCCAAUUACAUUUGAUGUGGAUCAAUGGGUCUUGAUAAUAUUUAUAUUAAUAUUAAGAACAGCAGUUAGUCUGGCACCCUAAGUUGAGUCUGGGUCUGGGAGAGCAGUGCCUCCCAAUUACAUUUGAUGUGGAUCAAUGGGUCUUGAUAAUAUUUAUAUUAAUAUUAAGAACAGCAGUUAUUCUGGCACCCUAAGCUGAGUCUGGGUCUGGGAGAGCAGUGCCUCCCAAUUACAUUUGAUGUGGAUCAAUGGGUCUUGAUAAUAAUAUUUAUAUUAAUAUUAAGAGCAGCAGCUAUUCUGGCACCCUAAGCUGAGUCUGGGUCCGAGAGAGCAGUGCCUCCCAAUUACAUUUGAUGUGGAUCAAUGGGUCUUGAUAAUAAUAUUUAUAUUAAUAUUAAGAACAGCAGUUAUUCUGGCACCCUAAGCUGAGUCUGGGUCCGAGAGAGCAGUGCCUCCCAAUUACAUUUGAUGUGGAUCAAUGGGUCUUGAUAAUAAUAUUUAUAUUAAUAUUAAGAACAGCAGUUAUUCUGGCACCCUAAGUUGAGUCUGGGUCCGGGAGAGCAGUGCUUCCCAAUUACAUUUGAUGUGGAUCAAUGGGUCUUGAUAAUAAUAUUUAUAUUAAUAUUAAGAGCAGCAGCUAUUCUGGCACCCUAAGCUGAGUCUGGGAGAGCAGUGCCUCCCAAGUACAUCUGAUGUCGAAAUGCCUUCCAUGUGUGGCAUUUUUCACCCCUCCAGCCCAAAAACCCGCGCCGGGGGGGGGGGGAUGAGCCUCAGAAGGCCUCCCAUUGCAGCCAAUGGUCCAAAAAUUUUAGUUUUUUUCGUAAGCCAGACAAAAAUUCAUGUUGUAUAGGCAGCCCAUUUUCGUUAGUGGGAAACAAAUACGAAAAUGAGAUGACACCUAUGAAACUACACAAAACGAACAGCAAUUCUAUACGAAUGCACACCUCUAGUAACCACCUCUCUAGUUAUUAAGAUGUGUCAUCACACUAAUUUCUAGCUUCCUAGAAAACAUUUUAGAACUAUUAUUUUUCUAACAUUCAAUGAUGCGUAUGGCAAGUUGCCAACCAUACCAAACCUGUAGUUCUAAUUUUGUUUUGUGUUGAUCUGCAUUCCAUUACUCAGUGACUACAACAAAGCAAUCAUAUACUUUUUAUUCUUGUCUUUUCCUGGAGCUCUUAUAUGCUAAAAUCCCAUCUAAGUUCCCAAACCUUAGGACAACACAACUUUGGAUAGUAUCCUAAAUGUCAGUGUUUUUAAUCCUUCUUGCUUCUUUGCUUUUCUGUCUAAAUUCAGAAGAACGACAAGGAAAAAAGAGUUUGAGUUUUGCAAAGUGCUCGUUUCAUGAAAGGCAAUGAAGGAACAACCAACAAGGCCUUAUUAGGGACGUUUGCACUGGUCAGAAUUUUUUCAAUUAACGUUGCCUUAGAAAGCACAGUUGCUCAGCUUUUGUCCGGCUGCGGCCAAAGAAUACGAAGAGCAAAUAGAUUGGGAGAAGUCUGUCGCUGCAGCUCCUGGGAAAAUGUAACAGGUGUUAUAGCUCAGCUGGGUAUGAGCUGCAUAAAAAAGGCUCACUCAGGCUCUGCCCAUAGAAUUCUCUUUUUAAACCAGAGCCUCAAGUAGGAAGAAACUAAUGACUUCAUUACCAUCUCAAUUCUGGGAAAUGUUUAGUCCAGACCUGAACCAUUAAAGGAAAGGGAUUUAAGCAUUUUCUUCCAAGAGUUGCCCAGACUGGCAUUGAGUGAAAGAGAUGAACUGAAUGCUGCAUUUUAGGAUGUUAUCCCAGGGAUGGAAGGGAAGUGAAGGAAAGCGUUUGGAAGAGUGGGGACUCAUCUUACCCUGACAAGGUGCCGAAAUGAGUCAUUGAUAAAUUAUCUGCUGCUGCUAGCUGUUUAUGCUGUCAUCUUAAAUCUAGGCAGUAGUAGGCAUUUUGCCAGCCUUACACAUCUCCUUCGAAAGACACACAUUUGCAUAUAUUCCCUGGCAUAUUAAAGGUAUUUUCUUUUUAUUGUCACCGGAAGAUAGUUUUUGCAUAUGUGCACAUUUUCUGGCCAUUCCAUAGUCUGAUUCUAUAUUUUAUCUCUAGUAUCAUUUAAAUAAUUAUGGGAAGCCUUUAAAAUGCUCAAUACUGGUUUGAUCUCAGCUUCUAACCUGGUGUUUGCUUAGGGUGAUAAGAGAACUUGAGCAGGUUCUCAUGGGCUCUUGGCUUCAGCAAGUGGACCACUUUCUGAGACAAUGUAAGUUGCAAAUGUGGCCCUGUAUCAGAAAGGCUUUAUAUCCCUUAUGUACAUGUUCUUUCAGGUUGCUUAUAUAUCUUAGGAAAAACUAUGAAUCUCAUAGGAAUUUUUUUUAUAGACAACAAAUGCUCAGAGGCAGUUUGCCAUUGCCUUUCCCCUUUCAAGAUGGGGUCUGGUGCAUUCACAUCUGGUGCUGAUGUUGCAAUCUCCGGAGGGAGAGAACAGUUAGGCAUUGUUCCAUCAUGCCUGGACCCACAAACUGGUAAAAGGAAGGGAACUGGCACCAGUAUCUGCUGGACUUAGUCUCCUCCCUCAUUGCUGUCCUUGCUUCUUUGUGUGUUGCAUCUUUUUUUAGGCCCCUUCUACACUGGCAUGUAAUCCAGAUGAUCAAAGCAGAUAAUCCACAUCAUUUGUUUUGAACUGGAUUAUAUGAAUCUACACUGCCAUAUAAUCCAGUUCAAAGCAGAUAAUCUGGAUUUUAUAUGGCAGUGUAGAAGGGGCCUUAAAUUGUUAAAGUGUAGGUAGGGAAAGUGUCAGAUUAACAAUUGUAAACUGCUUGUGUAAAGCACCAUGAACAUGGAUGGCACUACAUAAAUAAAUUAUGACAAUGGCAAUGGUAAUGAUAAUGGAAUUACGCUAUGUAACAAAAUUUGAAAAAUGCUCUGUUCCUGUUUUGAAAGUGGGCCGGGCUGUGGCGCAGCUGGCUAGUAACCAGCUGCAAUAAAUCACUACUGACCAAGAGGUCAUGAGUUCGAAGCCCGGGUCGGGUUAAACCCCCGACCAUUAAAUAGCCCGGCUUGCUGUUCACCUAUGCAGCCCCGAAAGACAGUUGCAUCUAUCAAGUAGGGAAAUUUAGGUACGCUUUAUGUGGGAGGCUAAUUUAACUAAUUUACAACAUCAUAAAACUGCCAGCAAAACAUGAGGAAAAGAAUGAGGAAGUACAGCCACUAGUGGACAGUGAAGCAACAGCUCCCCCUGUGGCCGGAAUCGUGAAACUGGAAAAAAAAUGCCUCUGUGUCUGUCUAUAUAUGUUGUUUGUCUGUUGGCAUUGAAUGCUUGCCAUAUAUGUGUACAUUGUAAUCUGCCCUGAGUCCCCUUCGGGGUGAGAAGGGCAGAAUAUAAAUACUAUAAAUAAAUAAAUAAAUUUCCUGUUUAA